AGGUGGCAAGCGUUGUCCGGAUUUACUGGGCGUAAAGGGAGUGUAGGCGGAUACUUAAGUCAGAUGUGAAAUACCCGGGCUCAACUUGGGUGCUGCAUUUGAAACUGGGUGUCUAGAGUGCAGGAGAGGAAAGUGGAAUUCCUAGUGUAGCGGUGAAAUGCGUAGAGAUUAGGAAGAACACCAGUGGCGAAGGCGACUUUCUGGACUGUAACUGACGCUGAGGCUCGAAAGCGUGGGGAGCAAA
This 244-nucleotide ribosomal RNA is filed under the name uncultured bacterium. Its description in RNAcentral is "partial 16S ribosomal RNA". It matches the Rfam family "Bacterial small subunit ribosomal RNA", at positions 529 to 772 of the family's 1533-position model. The record is from RNAcentral.